GGAAUUGUUCGCAAUGGGCGCAAGCCUGACGACGCAACGCCGCGUGGAGGAUGAAGAAUUUCGGUUCGUAAACUCCUUUCGACCGAGAUGAAUACCUACGGACUUAAUACGUCCGUGGGCUGACAGUAUCGAGAGAAGAAGCCCCGGCUAACUCUGUGCCAGCAGCCGCGGUAAUACAGGGGGGGCACGCGUUGUUCGGAAUUACUGGGCGUAAAGGGUUCGUAGUGGGCCACCUAAGUCAGACGUGAAAUCCCUCAGCUUAACUGGGGAACUGCGUCCGAUACUGGGUGGCUUGAGUGCAGGAGAGGGAUGCGGAAUUCCAGGUGUAGCGGUGAAAUGCGUAGAUAUCUGGAGGAACACCGGUGGCGAAGGCGGCAUCCUGGACUGUAACUGACACUGAGGAACGAAAGCCAGGGGAGCAAAC
Molecule: ribosomal RNA, 424 nt
Filed under: uncultured bacterium
Lineage: Bacteria
Description: bacterial SSU rRNA
Rfam family: Bacterial small subunit ribosomal RNA
Source: RNAcentral